UGAAGCUCCUGAACUCCUAAUCUGGAGGGUUUUCCUGUGAAAUCUGUCGCAUGGUUUAUUGAAAUGUUUACUGAGUUUCUUUGGAAAUGUCCUCACACCAGUCUCCUGAGGACAGUGACGUACUCGCAGCAGACGGAUGUUUGAAAUCAAAUCUGGACUGACAGUGAGGAAGUCGAUCUUUCUUCUCCUUUUCUUCUUCUUCUCUGGCAGCAGACUGACGGAGCAGCUGUCGAGAGUUUCAGAUUAAAGCUCAGAGGGUGAAGUUAUUCCUCUUUUUCUAAAGAACUCAGUCUGCACUGUGAAUUUAACUCUGUUAGUCUGGGUAACCACGGACAGUAAACUCAGCGUCCAAACCAAAAUCAAACAGCUGAUUGGAGUCGGUUUGGUUGUUGGUUUGUGGGUCUGUUAAUGGUUUUGUUUGUAAGCUGAGGAAGUCUUUGGUUUGUCUGUUUGGUUGGUUGGUGGAAAGCUUGGGUUUCAUAAUUAGUGAGUUGAGUUAGUCAUUGGUUGGUUGUUAAAGGUGGUGUAGUCAGAAUCUGAGGUAGUUCCAGUUUUCAGGAGAAACCUUGAAUGCCAACCAGUUUUCCCCUCAGCUCCUCCCCUCCCCUCAAGCCCCGCCCACAAACAGACGCUCCUGCUCGCUCGUAUCGUUCCAAUUAAAUUCAGAUAUAAUGCAGAUCAAUACUUCAGAUCAUUACAAAUGGGGCCCAGUCAAGGUGAAAGUAAAAAGCAUUGGUGCUACUGUAGAUGCCAACAGACUACCAGCAAACACAAUGUUUGCAGGACUUCUACAACGAGGAUAAAGUGACAUAGUCCAGGACCCGAGGGAGGACAGUUUAGCGAUGGCGCUACAACACGCUACAGCAGGUCCGUUUGACAAGAAACACUUCUGUUACAGACACUUGUCUUACUUUGUUAAAGCGGUUUACCUGUCCAGCAGAAAGGUUACAGGGUCACCAAGAUCCCCAAGCGUCCCCCAUGGUUUAUGUUGACCCGGCUUUUUAGCUCUUGUCCGCUCUACCUCCGUUUUAAGCGCCCGUUAUUCCUCCAGAGUCUCCGGUAUUUACUUUGUUUUCUUGCUUGUGUCGGCAGUCGUGGCCAAAAGAGGAUUCAGACAAUUUUCCGAACUUUCUGGUUGGUUUCUACUGUCCGAUAUUGUAGCACGCUAACUUUGUUUGGGCUCCUGAACGACACGGGGGAGCAGCGUCUGCCUCACAACCAAUCAGGUUAGAGGAGGUGGAGAACGGCUUUAUUUACAGUCAGAAAGAGCGGACCGCUCAAAAAUGUUCAAAUGUUGACGACACAGACAUAAGAGAACACAGAGAUAUCGAUAUAUUACCAAAUGUCAUCAAUAACUAAUAACUAUUGACUGAUAUUUAAAGAUUUUUUGUUUAAAAACCACAAAAUAAAAAGAUGCUUCUUUAACAGAUUCCUGUCUACUCCACCUUUAAGUCGGUUUUCUUCUUGUGGACCAGACUUCUUUCCUUAGACUAGAGAUCAGCUGGACUCUCUCAUAUGAACACUGAGUUCUUGUUGCUGAUGUGGAUCUGUGUGAGUCUGAGUGUGUUUGUGUUUUGCUGCCAUUCUUGGUCAGGACCCCCCCUGAAAAAGAGAUUGAUGAUCUCAACAGGACUAGUCUGGUUACAUCAAAUCAAAAAGACACACAACCUGCCUCCUGUCUUUGUCCUCUACAGAAAACCUGAUCCAGCUGCAGGACUCACAUCUGGGACAUGUAAGACCACAUGGAUCCAUGACACUGACGGAGCGGUAACAUGACAUCCAGCAGAAACAGACACAAUAAAGACAAACAGACGAGGUGAUUUCAGUGACUCAGUUUGAGGAUUUUUAUGAUUUUUUUACCCACAAUCAGAGACUUGACCACAAUCUGAGCUGAGUCAGAAACAUCCAAACAGUGGGACUAAUAAAUGUGAUUAUUAUUAUUAGAGUGAUUGAAAAGCUCAUAACAACAUGUAGAUCUGUCCAAAGUCUGAUUCUAGAUGUCUUUACAAACACACUGAUCCAACAGAAGCAGACAGAAAUAUCCAUCGAUCACAUGAACACAAAUAUUCAGCAAACAGAGAAAGAAACAGAUCAUCUGAAGAGUUUUUGGGGACGACUGGAAAGACUUUAGACGCUUGGAUUUGGGACAGGAAAUAAGGUCGUCCUUUUUCUGUGAUUUUGACCUCACUUUUUUCUAAAGUCUCAGACCUUCAACAUCUGCACCAACUGAAGGUGAUUUGAACAAACCAUCAUCUUGAUGUUGUUGAUAUCAAACUGUAUGAAGAUUUUUCAACAUGAGAAAUACAAACAAUCAAAGUUCUCCACAAUCACUGUCCUUAAAGCUGCGACCAAAUCAGCAUCUUUAGAAAAGAAUCAAAAAGCUGAAAUGAAGAACUAAACCCAGAGUUUUUGGUGAGACUGAUCCACAAACAUUUACAAACCAGAACAUUUCAAGAGUUCAAGGAUCUCAGUCCAUGAUUUUGGUCUGAUGGACUCAAAAUUCUCUUUAGUUCACUUCUAUAAACUCAGCAGAGUCUCCAACAGACCAGCCUAACCCCAGUCCAGCAUGUAGAGGUUCAGUGAAUGUGGUCUGGACUCUGUGGAGGAGAGUCAUGGUUUCAGAGACGCUGUAGAAGGACAGAAUACCUGCUCUGUGAUCCAGGUACACUCCUACUCUGGAGGACGGAGGACCUGAGACAUCAGUGAGGACUUUGUUGUGACCAAAUUGAUAACUGUGUUUAUCACAGUCUAACCUCCAAGAUUUGUCAUUUUCUCCAAAUACACAAUCCUCUGAGUCUCCGUCUCUCCUGAUAGUCUUGUAUGCGACUGCUACAAUAACCCCGCCCCCUCUCCAGUCCACCUCCCAGUAACAACGUCCAGUCAGACUCUCUCUACUCAGGACCUGAAGAUAAUCAGUGAAUCUGUCUGGAUGAUCAGGAUAAGACUGUUCUUCUGCUGUCACUGUUGCUCUUCUGUUUCCAUCAGAUAAUAACAGCUCUCUGUUUACUGUGUUUGGAUCCAGUGUGAUUCUUCGUGAAUAUCUUAAGAAACCAGCUCUGGUCUUGGGUUCUGCUGGUUCUGGUUCUGGUCGUUCUGACAGUAAAACAUCCACUUCAGUCACUGCCUGUGAGACGUUUGUCCACGUCUCUGUCAGAAGAUCCUGGAGUUUAUCUCUGAGCUCUGACACAGCUGCUGUCACCUCCUCAAAGUAUCUCAGAGGACGGAUGUUGAUCCUGGAUGAGUCUGCAGGUUGACCCGGUUCUGACAGUGAGGGGUAGCUGUGCAGAAACUGGUUGUGGUCCUCUGUGAGUGAGAGCUUCUGCAGAUCAGCGUCUUUCCUCUUCAGCUCAGUGAUCUCCUGCUCCAGUUUCUCCUGAAGGUCUUUGACUCGACUCACUUCACGUUCCUGCUGGGAUCUGACCUGCUGCUCCACCUCAGAGCGGCGUUUCUCCAUCAGACGGAUCAGCUGGCUGAAGAUCUCCUGGCUGUGCUCCACAGCUUUAUCAGCAGAGCCGUUGAUAGCCUCCACCUCCUGUUGGAGCAGCUUCACAUCUUCUUCUCUGUCCUGGAUUCUCUGCUGGAUGUUUUCUCGACCCUCCUCCAGAUCUUUCUGCCUCUCAGUCCUUUCUGCUGCAGCUGAGACUGUGUCGUGACCUUUGUGUUGGUCCAAACAGCAGAGAUAACAGAUGGACUUCUGAUCAGUGCGGCAGAACAUCUUCAUCACCUCAUCAUGACGAGAGCAGAUUUUCUCCUGGAGCUUCUUGGAGGGCUCCACCAGCUUGUGUUUCUUAAAUGGAGUAACUUCAAAAUGAGGCUGGAGGUGAAUCUGACAGUAAGAAGCCAAACAUUGAAGACAGGACUUGACAGCUUUCAGUUUUCUCCCACUGCAGAAAUCACAGGCCACAUCUUCAGGUCCAGCCUCAGAGGAACCAUCAGGAGCAGCUUGGAGUCCGCUCUUCUUCACUUCCUCCACUAAACCUGCUAACAUGGUGUUUUUCUUCAGGACAGGCCUCGGUCUGAAGGUCUCUCUGCACUGAGGACAGCUGUAGAUCCUCCUCUCAUCCUCAGUAUCCCAGUAGGAUUGAAUACAGCUCAUGCAGAAGCUGUGUCCACAGGUGACAGUCACCGGAUCCUUCAGAAGAUCCAAACAGAUGGAACAAGAGAAAGACUCACGGUCCAGAUGAACUCCUUUCUGCGCCAUUUCAACACUCGCUGUCGACGACGACGACUGACUGAGUUUCAUUUCCUGAGAAGUGAAACUAGUCUGAGCUCUGAUCUCAACAACAUGUGCGUCAGCAGGAUAUGACCUCAGCACACGACGGUUACACCCAACCAAGACUGUAGAACUGAGGGGGAGGGAGGAAGGAAGGGGAGGAAACAAGGAAGUGAGAGUGCAGAGUGGAGUGAGCUGUGAGAGACAGUGAGUGCAGAGUGGAGUGAGCUGUGAGAGACGGGGGGGGGGGGGACCAGUUUAUCUACAAUCCAGGAAGAGGAGCGUCUCUGUGAACUUUAGACUCUCAAACUCCAACAAGCAGAAGUUCUUAAAGCUGCAGCCGUCCUGAAGAUCGCUGCUCGCUUGUAUCGUUCCAAUUAAAUUCAGAUAUAAUGCAGAUCAAUACUUCAGAUCAUUACAAAUGGGGCCCAGUCAAGGUGAAAGUCAAAAGCAUUGGUGCUACUGUAGAUGCCAACAGACUACCAGCAAACACAAUGUUUGCAGGACUUCUACAACGAGGAUAAAGUGACAUAGUCCAGGACCCGAGGGAGGACAGUUUAGCGAUGGCGCUACAACACGCUACAGCAGGUCCGUUUGACAAGAAACACUUCUGUUACAGACACUUGUCUUACUUUGUUAAAGCGGUUUACCUGUCCAGCAGAAAGGUUACAGGGUCACCAAGAUCCCCAAGCGUCCCCCAUCGUUUAUGUUGACCCGGCUUUUUAGCUCUUGUCCGGUCUACCUCCGUUUUAAGCGCCCGUUAUUCCUCCAGAGUCUCCGGUAUUUACUUUGUUUUCUUGCUUGUGUCGGCAGUCGUGGCCAAAGGAGGAUUCAGACAAUUUUCCGAACUUUCUGGUUGGUUUCUACUGUCCGAUAUUGUAGCACGCUAACUUUGUUUGGGCUCCUGAACGACACGGGGGAGCAGCGUCUGCCUCACAACCAAUCAGGUUAGAGGAGGUGGAGAACGGCUUUGUUUACAGUCAGAAAGAGCGGACCGCUCAAAAAUGUUCAAAUGUUGACAACACAGACAUAAGAGAACACAGAGAUAUCGAUAUAUUACCAAAUAAUCAAUAACUAAUAACUAUUGACUGAUAUUAAAAGAUUUUUUGUUAAUAAAUUUUGUAAAAAGUUGGGUUGUUUGUUGGGUUGGUAUGUAGUUUUUUGGUUAGUUGGUUGUUUCUGGUCUUUGACACUCUGAGUGUGUCUUUGGGCUGAAAGUGUGUCACUCUGGAAUAAAUGUCUGUGAACGUGUUGACAAAAACAUCCACCUUUGUCAAUAACGCCUCCUGUGCUGCACCAUUUAAAGCACAGAGGUUCCUCUUUGUGGAGUCCACCCAAGAGGAGGCAUAUAUAUGUGUGUGUGUGUGUGUGUGUGUGUGUGUGUGUGUGUGUGUGUGUGUGUGUGUGUGAGUGUGUUGAAAAACUGCAGUCAGUCAGAGUGUGUUUAUAUUUGCUCCACAACAGACCAAAGAAGUUCUGGAGCUCUAAAUCACACAGCUGCACCUCUUUAUCUUUGCUCUCCCUGAAAAAUAAGACCCUUCGAUCAGACCCUCGCUGGGAAUCGAACAGUGUGCAGCGGUUCAGCGGGUUACAGUGGCGUUUAUGUUUACACUAACCACAGAAAUAUAAGCGUCUGCAUGUUUCUGGGAUUGAUUUUUGUCGCGCUGGGGCCGAACUCUCAAAACAGAAAUGUGUGAGUUCAAGAAAACUUGAGAGUGAAGAUGAUUGAAAGAGAGAGAGAGCGGCUCUGAGGGUCACUUCAUUUACAGCUGACAGACAAACAGAGAGUGAGCGAGGGCUCAGCAGUGAUCCUUCUGAUGCUGCAAACCCCUUUUUUUAUUCUCAGAGCUCCUUACUUUACAUCAAUAAUAUAAAAAAAUACAGUAUAACACAUAUAUAUACUAUAAUAUAAUAUAACGUCAGUGACUUGUUGCUUCCUCUGCCUCUGUGGUUUUGAGAAGACGCUCAGGUUUGAGUAUUUUUUCAUUUACUAGGAUGCUGCUACCUUCAAAAGUCCUGAAAGAGUCAGAUCCACCUGUGAGUGAUGGCGCUGGAGAAAGACGUGACCCCCCCGACAUUUAUGGGAGAUCCAGAUGGCCGACACGCCGCCUGUGAAGUAUUUAGAGCUGAAGUGUGAACCGGCCGACCUCGUCUGGGUUUGUGUCCGACCUGAUCGUUACCGACGGCGUCUGGGUCUGCACUCAUCCUCUUUGAAAAGGAGAGAUGAAUGACUGUACUUUUAACACACACACACACACACACACACACUCUCAGACCCCUGCUGAGCCACCUGCAGGGCUCGGUCUAAUACAAAGUAUGAUUGACAGGUGAUAUUUGGGAGGAUGAGUCAGAGAAGAUGGGAGCUGAAGUCAACAUCAAGAGGAGAGACAAUGAAACUCAGAAACACACACACACACACACAGGGGUAACACUCACUGCAGCUUGAACACACGGUUUAUUAUUUUCCACGUUUUAAAGUUGUUGUUUGACCCUAAAGAGGAUCUUUAUUUUUGUUUUUUAUGCUCUAAAGGUGAAGAAAAAUCAGGUGAAUAAUCUCCAUUCGAAAACUUUUCAUUUAUUGGCAACUACAAAUACUGAGAGUAAAAAUCAAGUGAAUGAAAUGAGACGUUUUUAUUUUUUAAUGUUGACUUUAAGAGUUAGAUAAAUGAUUCUCUGUUGCACCAGUGAGGUCUAAAAUUAGACUCAGACGGAGGAGACAGCUUCAGAGUUUUUACUCUGUCAGAUACACAAG
RNAcentral lists this long non-coding RNA (6965 nucleotides) under Xyrichtys novacula (pearly razorfish). Lineage: Eukaryota; Metazoa; Chordata; Actinopteri; Labriformes; Labridae. The record is from RNAcentral.